Molecule: non-coding RNA, 384 nt
Organism: Pelobates cultripes (western spadefoot toad)
Lineage: Eukaryota; Metazoa; Chordata; Amphibia; Anura; Pelobatidae
Source: the annotation of a GenBank genome assembly
GGGGUGACUGUCACUAGUCACCCCAUCCCUCUCUCUGUCACUAGUUACUCCCUCCCUAACUCUGUCAUUGUGAAGGAAGGAAGGGGUGACUGGUGACAGAGUGAGGGAAGGGAUGACUAGUGGCAGAGUGGGUGACCAGUGACAGAGGGAGGGGGUGACACAGUGAGGGAGGUGGUGACUAGUGACAGAGUGAGGGAGGUGGUGACUGUCACUAGUCAUCACCUCCCUCACUCUGUCCCUAGUCACCCCUCCCUCUGUCACUAGUCACCCCCUUCCUCACUCUGUCACUAGUCACCCCUUCCCUCCCUAACGCUGUCAACUAGUCACCACUUCCCUCCCUCACUCUGUCACUAGUCACACCCUCCCUCACUGUCACUAGAGUGA